Long non-coding RNA from Ipomoea triloba (trilobed morning glory), 186 nucleotides. RefSeq lists it as uncharacterized. The record is from RefSeq and is a predicted model, not a curated record. Lineage: Eukaryota; Viridiplantae; Streptophyta; Magnoliopsida; Solanales; Convolvulaceae. The transcript has 2 exons.
UUGCUAGAAGGCUCAUCAAAGCUAUUGGAAAGCUGAAUGAAUUGAAGCCAUAUUAAAUUGUGUUAGAACUAUGGCCACCACUUCUCUUCAUCUUCUAGUCAUUCUUCUUUGUUUUUCUCACCUUAUUUGCUUGAAUGCCAUCCCAAUUACAAGAAGCAGAAGGCUGGUGCAAAAAUCUCAAGAAAA